UUUUUAGGGCUGCACCUGCAGCAUAUGAAGGUUCCCAGGCUAGGAGUCUAAUCGGAGCUGUAGCCACUGGCCUACACGAGGGCCGCAGCAACGCAGGAUCCAAGCCAUGUCUGUGAACUACACCACAGCUCACGGCAACCCUGGCUCCUUAACCCACUGAGAAAAGCCAGGGAUUGAACCCACAACCUCAUGGUUCCUAGUCAGAUUCAUUAACCACUGCAUUAUGACAGGAACUCCAACCAGAGUUCAUUCUUUAUUCAGAUGUCCUUCGUUUUGAGCUCAUGCCCAUUGCUAUCCAAAGAUCCCACUUAUGACACCAUGUUAUAUUUGGUCAUCAUGUCUCCUUAGGUUUCUUUCAACUGCAAGAUUUUCCAUGUUUUUGAUGACCUUGGUGGUUUUGAGGACUACCAUUCAGGUAUUCUGUAGACGGUCCUUCAAUUUGGGUUUGCUUGAUGUUUUCCACAUGGUUAAACUGAGAUAAUGGGUUUUGGGGAGGAAAACCCCAGAAGUGAUUACAAAUCAAGGGUACAUGACUUAUCACUGUUGAUGUAGACCUUGAUCACCUGGCUGAGGUUGCUCUCUCUCCCUCUUUUCACACUAUACUCUCUCUGAAGUCAUUAUGCCUAGCCCACACUUGAGGAUGGAGGAGUUAUGCUCCACUUCUUUAAGGGAGGUGCAUCUAUAUAAAUUACCUGUAAUUCUUCUGUAUGAGAUAUUUGUCUGUUCUCCCUCAUUUAUUUACCAUUUAUUUAUAUCAGUAUAGAUUCAUGGAUAUUUCUUUCGAACAUUGCUUAUGGUCCAAUUUUUUGUUGCUCAAAUUGUUCUAGCUUUGCCCACCUGGAAGCUAGUGCAGGUGGCUCCUAUGUCCCUCUGUCAUGCCCCCAUCACUGUGUUCUUUGAGCAUUUCCUUAUUCUCGAGCACCCCAAAUGCUCCAGGAUCAACUUGUAUCCUUCCUGCCCCAUACCCAGAAUCAAUCAUUUCUUCAACAAGCCCUGAGUGCUUUCACUAGAAGUUGGUGUUAUAACCCAAGAUUUGGAUGCUUGGUUGGACAACAGGUUUUGUGAUACUGGGACCUAGACUCACAGUGGCUCCCAAGCCUGACUGCUCACAAGAAGCACCUUGAAUGUUGACUGCAGCAGGGCUGGUGGUUCCUCAUGUGUUCCUGAGGCUCCACACCAUGCAGCACCCACCCACACAUCACACAUUGUUAACAGAUGAGAUGUUCAUUCACAUGAAAGUACUUCUCCUUGCAGUAAUUUGCAAGUACAGCUUAUACCAACAUUUACUGAAGUUGAGGCUUCUUAGCAAAAUGUACAUCAGGCACUGCUAAUGUUCUCUCUGCCACCCCCUGGAGGUUGGUCCUCCUCUCAAGGUCCAGAGAAUAAGGAAGGUAAUAGGCUGGUUCUGAGCAGAAGACACUAAUGUCACUACCUUCUUUCUGGGACCAGGAGGAGAGCUCUAAUUUGAUUUAAAGUAUGCGGUGUGUGAACAGAAGAGCUAUGUGUGAGUGUGUGUAGACUGUGAGAGUGUGUGAGACCAGGUGUAUAUGUGUGACAGUGUGUGUGUGAAUGUGGUAUGUAAACUUGAGAUUAUGCAUGAGUGUGAGGAUGGUAUGUGAGCAUGUGUGUGUGUGUAACCAUGAGUGUGAGACAUUGUCUGAGUUUGGGAUGAGAAUAGGCAACACUGGGUCCCUCUGGGACAUCAGACCCAGUGACACGAGCCUGGCCCCCCUCUCAGGAGGAAGCACAGUCUGGGGACUGGGGGCUCCAGCCUGGCUUGGUGCCAACCCUCGUCUCUCGCCUCCCCCAGGGAACCUGAGUAUAGCACCAAACAGUCAAAUAUUUUCCUUUUCUGUCAUCACUAACUAUAGCUCCGUGAGUUCCCAGCUUGCUGCGUUAGCUCCUUGCCAUAAUUAGCAAUUUUCUGAUAUCACACUAACACUGGUUCAUUAUUUCCUUGGAGACAAAGCAAAGCCGUGGGAUGUGGCUGGGAAAUGGAUAGACUCAGCUCCAGAGAAAAGCCUGGCACUUGUGCAUUUGUCACAUGGCAGCGUGGUCCCCAGAAGGGCUCCAUGACCUGGAGUGGGGUUGGGGGUGAGGACACACGGGAAGGCCUGGGUGGUCACCACGGGGCCCCCAGCCUCGCUCCUCCUCCACAUCACAAACCCUGAAGCUCUGGGAACCUGUUCCCCUGCAGCCCUUCACCAGUGCUGCAGCCAGGUCCACAGCAUCCCUGGCCAGGUACACAGCAUUCCUGACAGGUCCACAGCAUCCCAGGCCAAGUCCAGGUGGGAAGAGGGGAGAUUUGUCCUCGCUCCCUUCCCAAGCUGCCUGUGCAGCCCAGAUGCACCCACCCUCCCUGAGGAACAACACAACUCACUGCCCUCACCCCAUAUCCUUAGGGCCCUGCUUUGGGACAAGGUGACUUGUAAUACCCUCCUGGAGGCAGGGCCCUUCCCCAGCCCCCUACCUCCCCCCCGCCGGCCCCGGGAGAGGGGGAAGUAAGAGUUUGGGGCCCAUGGUUACACAGGAGGCACCACCAUUCCUCUUAAAGGCUGCUUUGGUAAAAAGAAGAAAAACCACUCACAAGACUAUUUUUGCCUAAUGACUCUAGUAGACGCUGGGUUUUCUUGCUGGACUUACUCAAAUAACAACCCCGGGGUGUCUUCCUUUCAUGAGCGAGAAAGUCCCUUCUGGGUGGGAAGUUGAAGAUGCUUCUCCAUUCCCAGAACCCAGUGGGGGCUGCAGGUGUGUGGGCCAGGUGCGUCCAGGAAGGUGAGGUGCCUUCACUGCCCCGGGCUGCCCCCAACACAGGGCUAUAUGAGAUUCUCUCGCCGGCCACGCCCUGUUUGGUCAGCACACCUGAGCCUGAGCCUGGCCACCCAACCCCCCACCCCCCGCUUGGGCUGGGUGGAUGUUCUCUGGAGGCCCAGGCAGCUGGCCGCUCAGUGACAGCGUGACUGCAUGACCCAGUUUUCUGGGACAGCCCCUAGAUGACACCUCCUGCCCUGGAUUCACGGUUAAUAACUCCCUGAAGGGUCACUGGACCAGAACAAAGCUCACCCUACCUGGUGAGGAAGCCUUGAGGGCCAGCAGUGUCUCCUCGGCCCCUGCAGUCCGGCCUGUCUGUGCCACCUCCAUCCCAAUCACUCAACCCCCCCACCGCCCAGCUGGGGGUGAGGCGGGGAGACGGGCUCUGGGGCAGACACGUCUGUUCAAAUCCAGCCCAGCCCCUUUAGGGCCACCGGUGUCCUGAAGCCCUCCUGGGUGUCUCCAGCCAGAGCUGUCCUCUGAACCUGCAAAUCCCGCCUGCGCUUCUUCCACCCGCCUUGGCACGUUCUUUCUGAAACGCUGCAGAGGCCGCGUCAGGCUUUGGAAGAUACCUGCUUGGGCACAAACCCAGCUCUCCCGCAGAGACUUCUGCUACCCUGGGCAAGUCGCUUUCCCUGCACUAAGCCUCAGUUUGCCCACCUGUGAAACAGCGUGAUCACAGCGCCUGCACCUCAGAGUCAUUAAGAGGAUAGAGUGAGUGGAUACACAUGAGGCACUGGGACCCACUCGCACACACGUGUUAGCGGUUCCUUUAAGCACCACUUCCUCUCCUUUCUCUACUGGAAGCGCCUUUCCUGUAAAAGGUCAAACUCAAAGUUAUCUGUUGAAUGGUGACUCCACGCCAGGGGCUUUUCACCAAUCAUCGAACCACCUCUGAGAGCUGGGGGUCACUGACCCAUUUCAUAGGAGAAGAAGAGAAGGUUCAGAGAGGUUAGCUAACUGGCUCAGGUCACACAGCCUGGUCAUUAAAGGAUGGAGGAUGAUUUCAAACACAGGCCCUUCCUGCAGCUGGUCACACAACCACCCCAUCUCCCUCCACAAAAACCUCACAAUGACAAAUAAACCUUUGUCCUGAAAUAGAUGGCAGGUUGGUCGUAGCGGUUUACAACAGAUGACGUUGGCAAUCAGUUGAGCUCUUCAAGAAAAAUCAGAUGGAUUCCAGGCAUCUAUUUAGGAGGACAGUCAUUUACACCAGCCAGGAAGCAUUAAGAGCUUCCGCCAAAAUCAAGAGGUUUUUGCUCCCAGUGUUCUGCCCUGACUACGUGCCAUCAAGUCUGCCUGUGGCCGUGACUUCGGGAUGGCAGAAAAGAUGUCCACACAAGGUUUGCUGUUUGCAGGAAGGGCAAGUGGACCUUGUUCCCAGGUAUGAGGAGAGGAAGGCUCACGAGGCAGUCUUGGGCUCUGCUACCUCCCCUCAGGGGCCUCAGUGUUGUCCUCUGUGCAAUGGGACUGGAUGACCCCUGUGGCCCUUACUCUGCAGGGUCCCUGAGUCACACCUCUUUGAUGCUUUUGGUUUCAUCUGCUUUCUAGAAGGGUUGCUUAGCAAUUAGUAUAGACGGCUGAACAGUGCCCCCACCCAAAAGAUAUGUCCACAUCAUGAUGUAACCCAGAACAUGUGAGUGUCAUCUUUUUUGGAAAAAGGAUCUUUGCAGAUGAAUUAAUUUAAGGAUCUUGAGAUGAGACCAUCCACUGCAUCCUAGGUUACCAGUGGGCCCUAUAUCCAGCGACAAGCUUCCCUUCCUCUCAGAGGACCCGUCCCCUCUCCACUCCAGGUCUAAUCUCCCCUGCAUCUUGCUCCCUAGGUCCUGUGCUUCAGCCUCAGCCAGUGUCUUCAAUGGCUCCAUCCCAGCUGUGCUUUCCUCUGGGAACAUAAACACAGUCCAUGGACAUCAUCUCACGUGAUGAACAACCUAUACCAAGGGCACAUCAGGCAGUUCAAGGGCAGAGAAAGGAGAAUGAGCAAUGACCUAAGAAAUGAUCCUCAGCCUCGCCAGGAGCAGAGGAUGCACACUACAACCACAAGGCACCACAUUUCAGUCAAUUUUGAUGGAUGUGUUUCCAUCACCUCUGAUCCCCUGAACUUAGAAACGUCCUGCAGUGCCCAGGGCUGGUAAAACCUCGGGAGAUGGAGCUUUCAUUUAGGAAAGAACCAAAAUGGGCAUCAGAGGAGGACAGAUCUGGAAAAUGAGGCACAGUCACACAAUGUGGCUGUCUGUAAAGCAAGCACAGCAGCUCAGCGUGGAAAGGACAGUUUGAGAAUGCAUGCUGGGUGAACAUGACUUUCUCUUUUUCUUUCUUUUUUUAAGGGCUGCACCCACAGCAUAUGGAGGGUCCAAGGCUAGGGAGCGAAUCAGAGGUACAGCUGCCAGCCUACACCACAGCUCACAGCAACACCAGA
Molecule: long non-coding RNA, 5230 nt
Filed under: Sus scrofa (pig)
Lineage: Eukaryota; Metazoa; Chordata; Mammalia; Artiodactyla; Suidae
Description: lncRNA (ENSSSCG00025021959.1)
Source: RNAcentral